GAUGAACGCUGGCGGCGUGCCUAAUACAUGCAAGUCGAGCGAACAGACGAGGAGCUUGCUCCCCUGACGUUAGCGGCGGACGGGUGAGUAACACGUGGAUAACCUACCUAUAAGACUGGGAUAACUUCGGGAAACCGGAGCUAAUACCGGAUAAUAUAUUGAACCGCAUGGUUCAAUAGUGAAAGACGGUUUUGCCGUCACUUUUAGAUGGAUCCGCGCCGGAUUAGCUAGUUGGUAAGGUAACGGCUUACCAAGGCAACGAUGCGUAGCCGACCUGAGAGGGUGAUCGGCCACACUGGAACUGAGACACGGUCCAGACUCCUACGGGAGGCAGCAGUGGGGAAUCUUGCGCAAUGGGCGAAAGCCUGACGGAGCAACGCCGCGUGAGUGAAGAAGGUCUUCGGAUCGUAAAGCUCUGUUAUUAGGAAAGAACAAAUGUGUAAGUAACUAUGCACGUCUUGACGGUACCUAAUCAGAAAGCAACGGCUAACUACGUG
Molecule: ribosomal RNA, 497 nt
Filed under: uncultured bacterium
Lineage: Bacteria
Description: partial 16S ribosomal RNA
Rfam family: Bacterial small subunit ribosomal RNA
Source: RNAcentral